UUGCAUGUACUGACAAUGGUGAGAUGGGUAAGAGGAAGAGUAUGAGGUGGAUGUUGUGGGGAUGUUUUUGGUGGUAGAGUAUCAAGGUUAUGUCAUGGGCCUCCACUAUUGCAUGACGUAGAAGAUACGGAACAUGACACAUCAUUAGAUGAUUCAACUCAACCACCAAAUGUGGGUGUAGAGGAGGCUAGGGAAGAAGCUAAUGAGGCGCAUGAUUGUUACUAAUGAAUAUAAUACAGAUUUGCCUACUAGAAAACGUGGUCGUGGACCAGCAAAAGACAAGCUAUUUGAACGCAUUCGUAAAUUUGGGAAAAUAUCUUUGAACAUUAAGGAUGGACAAAGAUGUCCAUUGUGUGAGAAUUACAACAUAUUUUCUGGACGAGUGACAACGAUUGUGAGACUUCAUGCAAAUAUGCGACAUGCAAGCUGGAAAAUAGUAAACAAAGAGAAGAAAGAUGAGCUCAUAGAGCGUGUUCGGGCUGACUUGAUAUUGGAUUGGACACAAAGUUCUCAUCGUGAGUAUGUGACAAAUGCACUUGCUUGAAAAUACAAUGCAUUCCACUACCUCUUACACAAGCACUACCUGGGGUAUGCAAUGUACGAAUCGACACACUUUCUGGUUGGACAACCUGGGUGGAGAAGCCCGUAUGAGAACACUUAUGUGCAAUGUGGUCAAAGUAGGUCUAUAGCUGGUAGCAAGGGGACUGGAAGGGACUAGUGCUAAAGACACAAUGCUACCUGCAGAGAGAUAAGAAGCAGUAUCAUUGUGAAGUAUUUUUGAGCCAAGACCACAUUUGCUUUUGACAAGUAAAGCAGAUCAUAGUGGGCCACGAUUUGCAAGUUGCCAUAUACUUGGAAAUGCUUUAUGUUUUGCUAUGUUAUUUUAUAUUGGCUGCUUGCAAAGUUGAACUUUUAUCAUG
Long non-coding RNA from Juglans regia (Persian walnut), 920 nucleotides. RefSeq lists it as uncharacterized. The transcript is spliced from 4 exons. The record is from RefSeq and is a predicted model, not a curated record. NCBI's taxonomy places the organism in Eukaryota, Viridiplantae, Streptophyta, Magnoliopsida, Fagales, Juglandaceae.